GGAUUCCCAGAGUAGCGGCGAGCGAAACGGGAACAGCCCAGCGCUGAAUCGCGCGGUCCGCGCGGGCCGCCGCGAAAUGUAGCGUUCGGGAGGGAGAUGUUAAUUCGUUAUCGCGCGGUCACCAGUCACGGCGUCCAGUCCAAGUCCAUCUUGAAGGGGGCCCCGCUUAUCCGUAGAGGGUGCCAGGCCCGUGGUGACGGACGCCGGCCGCGACGGUCUUCCUCCCCAGAGUCGGGUUGCUUGAGAGUGCAGCCCUAAGUUGGUGGUAAACUCCAUCUAAGGCUAAAUACGACCAUCGAGACCAUAGCGAACA
RNAcentral lists this ribosomal RNA (313 nucleotides) under Chimarrhodella ulmeri. Its description in RNAcentral is "eukaryotic LSU rRNA". It matches the Rfam family "Eukaryotic large subunit ribosomal RNA", at positions 72 to 346 of the family's 3401-position model. The record is from RNAcentral. Lineage: Eukaryota; Metazoa; Arthropoda; Insecta; Trichoptera; Philopotamidae.